This 253-nucleotide ribosomal RNA is filed under the name uncultured bacterium. Its description in RNAcentral is "partial 16S ribosomal RNA". It matches the Rfam family "Bacterial small subunit ribosomal RNA", at positions 524 to 776 of the family's 1533-position model. The record is from RNAcentral.
UACGGGGGGGGCAAGCGUUGUUCGGAAUUACUGGGCGUAAAGGGCUCGUAGGCGGCCAACUAAGUCAGACGUGAAAUCCCCGGGCUCAACCCGGGAACUGCGUCCGAUACUGGCAGGCUUGAAUCCGGGAGAGGGAUGCGGAAUUCCAGGUGUAGCGGUGAAAUGCGUAGAUAUCUGGAGGAACACCGGUGGCGAAGGCGGCAUCCUGGACCGGCAUUGACGCUGAGGCGCGAAAGCGUGGGGAGCAAACAGG